CAUCGCUGGACUAGAUACAGCAAAUGCGUUAAUCGAAGAGGGAGCGUGUUUACUGGCGUUGCCUAGCAAUUGGUCGCCUCGUCUAGCUUCAGUGUUCCGGCGUUCAGCAUCCUGUCGGCGUUUUAUCUUGAAAACGUCUAUUAUAAGCUAUAUAUUACAUACAUUUUGUACAAUGAAUUUUGUCGCCAGUGAAACUGCAGCAGAACAAAUGAUAAACUACCUUUCUGUGAGGCGACUGGCAUGUGGACAGCACCGGGACUGGGUAGUAAUAUAGACCCACAGCAACAGGUCAGUGCCGAGGAGUUAUCUUGAAGACAGUUGGCUCUACAGAGCAGUUGAGAGAGAGAGCUCCAGAGGAUUGAGGACUAAGGAUGGAGGUUUCAAUAGUUGAAGCGUUACCAAGUAACAACUAGCAAACAGAUGUUGAAGAAUUCAUUUUUUGUGUUACAGUCAGGGCUUGAGGUGGGGCGGGAUGGCAUCCCGGUU
Long non-coding RNA from Cryptotermes secundus, 486 nucleotides. RefSeq lists it as uncharacterized. The transcript is spliced from 3 exons. The record is from RefSeq and is a predicted model, not a curated record. NCBI's taxonomy places the organism in Eukaryota, Metazoa, Arthropoda, Insecta, Blattodea, Kalotermitidae.